UUAAAGUGGCAGAGUAAAAUGCGAGGGAUUUAAGCUUCCUUUAUGAAAGUUUCCUUUAAU
This 60-nucleotide transfer RNA is filed under the name Rhipicephalus linnaei. RNAcentral's name for it is "tRNA-Leu". Lineage: Eukaryota; Metazoa; Arthropoda; Arachnida; Ixodida; Ixodidae. The record is from RNAcentral.